UACAGAGGUCUCAAGCGUUGUUCGGAUUCAUUGGGCGUAAAGGGUGCGUAGGCGGCGCGGUAAGUCGGGUGUGAAAUCUCGGAGCUUAACUCCGAAACUGCAUUCGAUACUGCCGUGCUUGAGGACUGGAGAGGAGACUGGAAUUUACGGUGUAGCGGUGAAAUGCGUAGAGAUGUGGAGGAACACCGAUGGCGAAGGCAGCCCCCUGGGCUGAGAUUGACGCUCAGGCACGAAAGCGUGGGGAGCAAACAGG
Molecule: ribosomal RNA, 253 nt
Filed under: uncultured bacterium
Lineage: Bacteria
Description: partial 16S ribosomal RNA
Rfam family: Bacterial small subunit ribosomal RNA
Source: RNAcentral